AUGUUGGUGCUUCUUUUCUACAGUUCACUCCUCUCAUUUUCCGUAGGGUUCAGGUCAGAGGACUGGAAUGGCCAUAGCAGAAGCUUUGUUUUGAGCUCAGUGACCCAUUUUUGUGUUGUUUUUGAGGUUUGUGUUUGGAUUAUUGUAUGGUUGGAAGAUCCAAACAUGGCCCAUUAUAAGAGUCAGUCACUUAGUGUUACGGCCAGCACUCAGGCCGCAACAAAACGGAGACCAGACGCGUCACGGCGUAUUAAACACCAGAAAACAGACAUAAACAUAAUCCAAAUAACGGAAGGUAUCAGGGUCGGGCAAGACACUCAGCACGACGUGCAGCGACAAACUCCAUUACGAAGACAAAACGCCCAACUUCCUUCACGAGAAGUCUCCCACAUAUUUCACUCCACAAUCCAACAAGUGUCAGGUGUGUAGCCACGCCCCCUCCAGACAAACCUAAAACACAAACACACACGCACGCACAGCUAGGCUGAGACGUCACACUUAGUGAUUUAUUUUAUUUUUUUUAUCUGUUGGUAUUUGAUAAAAUCCAUGAUGCCAUGUGUCUAAACAAGAUGUCCAGGACCUCCAGUAGAAAUAUAGGCCCACAACAUCAAAAAUACAGCAGUAUUUCAUUGUACACAUGGGGUACUUUUUAUCCCUGUGCUCACCAAACCCAUCUUGAGUGUUUACUGCUAAAAAGCUCAAUUUUUAGUUUCAUCUGACCAUAGAAGCCAGUCCCGUUUGAAGUUCCAGUCAUGUCUGAUAACUGAAUAUGAUGGAGUUUGUUUAUGGAUGAGCUAGGAGAAAUUUUCAUGAAACCCUCCCAAACAACAUGUGGUGAUGUAGGUGCUGUUUGACAAUUUUUUUUAAGGUUUUCUGACCCCGAGACUCAACUUUUUUCCGCAAUUCUCCAGCUGUGGUCCUUGGAGAGUCUUUAGCCACUCAAACUCUCCUUCUCACUGCACAUUAGGAUGAUACAGACACACGUCCUCUUCCAGGCAGAUUUAUAACACUUUCUGUUGAUUGGAAAUUCUUAAUUAUUGCCCUGAUGGUGGAAAUGUGAAUUUUCACUGCUCUAGCUCUUUUCUUAAAGCCACUUCACUAAUUUGUGAAGCUCAAUUAUCUUUUGCUGCACAUCAGAAAUAUAUUAUUUGGUUUUUCUCAUUGUAAUGGAUGAUUGAGGGAAUUUGGGCUUUGUUUUCUCUCCUCUUUAUAUUUCUGUGAAACAGGAAGCCAGAGCUGGAUGAUUUCAUGUUCAUAAUCACGCUGGAGUGCUCAAAAUUGUGAAUAUGAAUGGGAAUAUACUUCUGAGAUAUUUUACUCAUAAGAAUUUCUAGGGGUGCCAAUAAUUGUGAAAACGUGAAACAUUAAUUUCAUAAUGAUAUUUCCCCCCAUUUUAAAUUCUUAUUGUCCAAUGAAAGGUUAGAUUUUUUAAAAUAAAAGAUCAAAGGAUUAACA
This is a long non-coding RNA of Cyprinus carpio (common carp), 1455 nucleotides long. The record is from Ensembl. Lineage: Eukaryota; Metazoa; Chordata; Actinopteri; Cypriniformes; Cyprinidae.